CGAUUGCCCAAGCAUUUACUUGGAGAAAUGUUUUGGGAUAUAUAUUGUAAUCGUUGACUUUGAAGUGUGAAAUGACUUCCCUUGGAAGUAGAAGAGGAGCAGGAGGGUGUAAUCUCAGAGUUUCUUUGAUUAUCAUAUUCAGUUUGGAAUUCCUUAUAAGUUCUGCCAUCGCCCAGAUUACAGUAAUUGCACCAGUGUCUAUUGCUCCCAAGAAGAUAUUCUGAUAUACAAUUAGCAUCAUUGGUAAGUAGAAGGGAAUCUGGAUUCAAUAUUGAUAACCGGAAAUUCAUAGUCUAUAUAUGCAUUUGUAUAUAUCUUUUUAUGUACAUAUGAUAGAUUUAAUAACUGUCUAGUUAGAUAUAGAGAUUAAGUAUUAAAGAGGGCUCAUCAAUGCAACAGCAUAUCCAUGGUGUUUAAAAGAUAGCAGCAGAACAUUGAGUGCAGGAUAUAUAAAUUUUGGCAGCUUACCAGGAGGACGCCUUUGAUAUUAUCUUUUAUGCAAUAUGAUCUUCGAUUACAUGUUCGAAGAAAGAAUCCAUCUUGUGGAAAACUCUGUCAAGCCGCGCUUGGUGACCGGUAAGCCUGUCAACAAUCCAACCUACAUAUGGCAAGUAUUCUUGUGCGGAAAAGCUC
Tripterygium wilfordii is the source of this 633-nucleotide long non-coding RNA. RefSeq lists it as uncharacterized. Lineage: Eukaryota; Viridiplantae; Streptophyta; Magnoliopsida; Celastrales; Celastraceae. The transcript has 3 exons. The record is from RefSeq and is a predicted model, not a curated record.